This 717-nucleotide ribosomal RNA is filed under the name uncultured bacterium. RNAcentral's name for it is "partial 16S ribosomal RNA". The record is from RNAcentral.
AUGGAUGUUCCUCCUGAUCUCUACGCAUUUCACUGCUACACCAGGAAUUCCGCUACCCUCUACCACACUCUAGUCGUCCAGUAUCCACUGCAGUUCCCAGGUUGAGCCCAGGGCUUUCACAACGGACUUAAACGACCACCUACGCACGCUUUACGCCCAGUAAUUCCGAGUAACGCUUGCACCCUUCGUAUUACCGCGGCUGCUGGCACGAAGUUAGCCGGUGCUUAUUCUUUGGGUACCGUCAUCCCAACCGGGUAUUAGCCAGCUGGAUUUCUUUCCCAACAAAAGGGCUUUACAACCCGAAGGCCUUCUUCACCCACGCGGUAUGGCUGGAUCAGGCUUGCGCCCAUUGUCCAAUAUUCCCCACUGCUGCCUCCCGUAGGAGUCUGGACCGUGUCUCAGUUCCAGUGUGGCUGAUCAUCCUCUCAGACCAGCUACGGAUCGUCGCCUUGGUGGGCCUUUACCCCGCCAACUAGCUAAUCCGACAUCGGCUCAUUCAAUCGCGCAAGGUCCGAAGAUCCCCUGCUUUCACCCGUAGGUCGUAUGCGGUAUUAGCGUAAGUUUCCCUACGUUAUCCCCCACGAAAAAGUAGAUUCCGAUGUAUUCCUCACCCGUCCGCCACUCGCCACCCAGAGAGCAAGCUCUCCUGUGCUGCCGUUCGACUUGCAUGUGUUAGGCCUACCGCCAGCGUUCACUCUGAGCCAGGAUCAAACUCUC